UACGUAGGGGGCAAGCGUUAUCCGGAUUUACUGGGUGUAAAGGGAGCGUAGACGGCAGCGCAAGUCUGGAGUGAAAGGCGGGGGCCCAACCCCCGGACUGCUCUGGAAACUGUAUAGCUGGAGUGCAGGAGAGGUAAGUGGAAUUCCUAGUGUAGCGGUGAAAUGCGUAGAUAUUAGGAGGAACACCAGUGGCGAAGGCGGCUUACUGGACUGUAACUGACGUUGAGGCUCGAAAGCGUGGGGAGCAAACAGG
Molecule: ribosomal RNA, 253 nt
Filed under: uncultured bacterium
Lineage: Bacteria
Description: partial 16S ribosomal RNA
Rfam family: Bacterial small subunit ribosomal RNA
Source: RNAcentral